Molecule: unclassified non-coding RNA, 109 nt
Organism: Gorilla gorilla gorilla (western lowland gorilla)
Lineage: Eukaryota; Metazoa; Chordata; Mammalia; Primates; Hominidae
Rfam family: Y RNA
About the family: Y RNAs are components of the Ro ribonucleoprotein particle (Ro RNP), in association with Ro60 and La proteins. The Y RNAs and Ro60 and La proteins are well conserved, but the function of the Ro RNP is not known.
Source: Ensembl
GACUGAUUUGAAGGUAGUGAGUUAUCUCAAUUGAUUACUCAGUCUGUUACAGGUCAAACUUUUUGUUCUAUCCUUUCCCCUUCUCACUACUGCUCAUGACUAGUCUUCU